AUUGAACGCUGGCGGCAUGCCUUACACAUGCAAGUCGAACGGCAGCACGGGAGCAAUCCUGGUGGCGAGUGGCGAACGGGUGAGUAAUAUAUCGGAACGUGCCCAGUCGUGGGGGAUAACGCAGCGAAAGCUGUGCUAAUACCGCAUACGAUCUCUGGAUGAAAGCGGGGGACUCGCAAGGGCCUCGCGCGAUUGGAGCGGCCGAUAUCAGAUUAGGUAGUUGGUGAGGUAAAGGCUCACCAAGCCGACGAUCUGUAGCUGGUCUGAGAGGACGACCAGCCACACUGGAACUGAGACACGGUCCAGACUCCUACGGGAGGCAGCAGUGGGGAAUUUUGGACAAUGGGCGCAAGCCUGAUCCAGCAAUGCCGCGUGCAGGAUGAAGGCCUUCGGGUUGUAAACUGCUUUUGUACGGAACGAAACGGUCUGCUUUAAUAAAGUGGGCUAAUGACGGUACCGUAAGAAUAAGCACCGGCUAACUACGUG
This 486-nucleotide ribosomal RNA is filed under the name uncultured bacterium. Its description in RNAcentral is "bacterial SSU rRNA". It matches the Rfam family "Bacterial small subunit ribosomal RNA", at positions 30 to 507 of the family's 1533-position model. The record is from RNAcentral.